Molecule: small nucleolar RNA, 87 nt
Filed under: Endocarpon pusillum Z07020
Lineage: Eukaryota; Fungi; Ascomycota; Eurotiomycetes; Verrucariales; Verrucariaceae
Source: RNAcentral
CUCGAAUGAUGAUACACAAAUCAUACAGUUCUGCUUCUGCAACAUCAUUGAAGAAAACAAUUAACCUUACCAAAUUCUAUCUGAUUG